RNAcentral lists this ribosomal RNA (329 nucleotides) under uncultured eukaryote. Its description in RNAcentral is "partial 18S ribosomal RNA". It matches the Rfam family "Eukaryotic small subunit ribosomal RNA", at positions 1470 to 1796 of the family's 1831-position model. The record is from RNAcentral.
CCCUUAGAUGUUCUGGGCCGCACGCGCGCUACACUGACGAUGGCAACGAGUUUUUCCUUCGCCGAAAGGUGUGGGUAAUCUUUUGAAACAUCGUCGUGCUGGGGAUAGAUCAUUGCAAUCUUUGAUCUUGAACGAGGAAUUCCUAGUAAGCGCGAGUCAUCAGCUCGCGUUGAUUACGUCCCUGCCCUUUGUACACACCGCCCGUCGCUACUACCGAUUGAAUGGUUUAGUGAGGACUCCUGAUUGGCGCCGCCGCCCCGGCAACGGAGCAGCGGACUGCCGAAAAGUUGUUCAAACUUGAUCAUUUAGAGGAAGUAAAAGUCGUAACA